AAGACGGGUGAGAAUCCCGUCCACCGAUUGACUAAGGUUUCCAGAGGAAGGCUCGUCCGCUCUGGGUUAGUCGGGUCCUAAGCUGAGGCCGACAGGCGUAGGCGAUGGAUAACAGGUUGAUAUUCCUGUACCACCUAGUAUCGUUUUAAUCGAUGGGGGGACGCAGUAGGAUAGGCGAAGCGUGCUGUUGGAGUGCACGUCCAAGCAGUAAGGCUGAGUGUUAGGCAAAUCCGGCACUCAUAAGGCUGAGCUGUGAUGGGGAGAGGAAAUUGUUUCCUCGAGUCGUUGAUUUCACACUGCCGAGAAAAGCCUCUAGAUAGAUAACAGGUGCCCGUACCGCAAACCGACACAGGUAGUCAAGAUGAGAAUUCUAAGGUGAGCGAGCGAACUCUCGUUAAGGAACUCGGCAAAAUGACCCCGUAACUUCGGGAGAAGGGGUGCUCUUUAGGGUUCACGCCCAGAAGAGCCGCAGUGAAUAGGCCCAAGCGACUGUUUAUCAAAAACACAGGUCUCUGCUAAACCGUAAGGUGAUGUAUAGGGGCUGACGCCUGCCCGGUGCUGGAAGGUUAAGAGGAGUGGUUAGCUUCUGCGAAGCUACGAAUCGAAGCCCCAGUAAACGGCGGCCGUAACUAUAACGGUCCUAAGGUAGCGAAAUUCC
This 658-nucleotide ribosomal RNA is filed under the name Staphylococcus epidermidis. Its description in RNAcentral is "partial 23S ribosomal RNA". It matches the Rfam family "Bacterial large subunit ribosomal RNA", at positions 1314 to 1968 of the family's 2925-position model. Lineage: Bacteria; Bacillati; Bacillota; Bacilli; Caryophanales; Staphylococcaceae. The record is from RNAcentral.